CAGACCGCCAGCUAAGGUCCCAAAGUCAUGGUUAAGUGGGAAACGAUGUGGGAAGGCACAGACAGCCAGGAUGUUGGCUUAGAAGCAGCCAUCAUUUAAAGAAAGCGUAAUAGCUCACUGGUCGAGUCGGCCUGCGCGGAAGAUGUAACGGGGCUAAACCAUGCACCGAAGCUGCGGCAGCGACACUAUGUGUUGUUGGGUAGGGGAGCGUUCUGUAAGCCUGCGAAGGUGUGCUGUGAGGCAUGCUGGAGGUAUCAGAAGUGCGAAUGCUGACAUAAGUAACGAUAAAGCGGGUGAAAAGCCCGCUCGCCGGAAGACCAAGGGUUCCUGUCCAACGUUAAUCGGGGCAGGGUGAGUCGACCCCUAAGGCGAGGCCGAAAGGCGUAGUCGAUGGGAAACAGGUUAAUAUUCCUGUACUUGGUGUUACUGCGAAGGGGGGACGGAGAAGGCUAUGUUAGCCGGGCGACGGUUGUC
Molecule: ribosomal RNA, 474 nt
Filed under: Klebsiella pneumoniae
Lineage: Bacteria; Pseudomonadati; Pseudomonadota; Gammaproteobacteria; Enterobacterales; Enterobacteriaceae
Also listed under: 1 other name
Description: partial 23S ribosomal RNA
Rfam family: Bacterial large subunit ribosomal RNA
Source: RNAcentral